Molecule: transfer RNA, 267 nt
Filed under: Cajanus cajan (pigeon pea)
Lineage: Eukaryota; Viridiplantae; Streptophyta; Magnoliopsida; Fabales; Fabaceae
Description: tRNA gene-KK1_029603
Source: RNAcentral
UAAUAAUAAUAAGAUUUGAACUUAAGACUCUACCCAUAUUAUAUUGAUUAUCACUAAUAAGUCAAUUAUAAUAUUCUUACAAUCUUAGUGGUUUUAAAGAUAUUUUUAAAAAGAAUAAUAUAAAUCAGUGACAAAUUAAUACUUUUAAUUAAUUAAAUUUCUAGAAACAAAAAAUAUUUAAUGUAAUUUUUUUUUAAACUCAAUAGUUAAAUUUCUCAAUUCUUGUGAAUUCUUGUGACCUGAGUCAUACCAUUAGACUAAGCAAAU